UACGUAGGGCGCAAGCGUUGUCCGGAAUUAUUGGGCGUAAAGAGCUCGUAGGCGGCUUGUCGCGUCGGAUGUGAAAGCCCGGGGCUUAACCCCGGGUCUGCAUUCGAUACGGGCAGGCUAGAGUGUGGUAGGGGAGAUCGGAAUUCCUGGUGUAGCGGUGAAAUGCGCAGAUAUCAGGAGGAACACCGGUGGCGAAGGCGGAUCUCUGGGCCAUUACUGACGCUGAGGAGCGAAAGCGUGGGUAGCAAACAGG
Molecule: ribosomal RNA, 253 nt
Filed under: uncultured bacterium
Lineage: Bacteria
Description: partial 16S ribosomal RNA
Rfam family: Bacterial small subunit ribosomal RNA
Source: RNAcentral